Molecule: ribosomal RNA, 253 nt
Filed under: uncultured bacterium
Lineage: Bacteria
Description: partial 16S ribosomal RNA
Rfam family: Bacterial small subunit ribosomal RNA
Source: RNAcentral
UACGUAGGGUGCAAGCGUUGUCCGGAAUUAUUGGGCGUAAAGAGCUCGUAGGCGGCUUGUCGCGUCGACUGUGAAAUCCCGCGGCUCAACUGCGGGUCUGCAGUCGAUACGGGCAGGCUAGAGUUCGGUAGGGGAGACUGGAAUUCCUGGUGUAGCGGUGAAAUGCGCAGAUAUCAGGAGGAACACCGGUGGCGAAGGCGGGACUCUGGGCCGAUACUGACGCUGAGGAGCGAAAGCAUGGGGAGCGAACAGG